UGAGGAAUAUUGGUCAAUGGACGCAAGUCUGAACCAGCCACGUCGCGUGAAGGAAGACGGCCCUACGGGUUGUAAACUUCUUUUGUAAGGGAAUAAAGUGAGUCACGUGUGACUUUUUGCAUGUACCUUACGAAUAAGGAUCGGCUAACUCCGUGCCAGCAGCCGCGGUAAUACGGAGGAUCCGAGCGUUAUCCGGAUUUAUUGGGUUUAAAGGGUGCGCAGGCGGGAGAUUAAGUCGGCGGUGAAAUUUUGCAGCUCAACUGUAAAAGUGCCAUCGAUACUGGUUUUCUUGAGUGUGGAUGAAGUAGGCGGAAUUUGUGGUGUAGCGGUGAAAUGCAUAGAUAUCACAAGGAACACCGAUUGCGCAGGCAGCUUACUAAACCAUAACUGACGCUCAGGCACGAAGGCGUGGGGAGCAAACAGGAUUAGAUACCCUGGUAGUCCACGCAGUAAACGAUGAUUACUAGCUGUUUGCGAUACAAUGUAAGCGGCUGAGCGAAAGCGUUAAG
This 509-nucleotide ribosomal RNA is filed under the name uncultured bacterium. RNAcentral describes it as "bacterial SSU rRNA". It matches the Rfam family "Bacterial small subunit ribosomal RNA", at positions 355 to 864 of the family's 1533-position model. The record is from RNAcentral.